AUAAACUGGGGUGUGCAGAGGGGGAACCCCUCGCAGUAUUAAGGGGAGGCUCAGACGUGUAGCGUCGUCGAAGGGGGU
This 78-nucleotide non-coding RNA is filed under the name unclassified sequences. RNAcentral describes it as "Clostridiales-2 RNA". It matches the Rfam family "Clostridiales-2 RNA". The record is from Rfam by way of RNAcentral.